RNAcentral lists this ribosomal RNA (253 nucleotides) under uncultured bacterium. RNAcentral's name for it is "partial 16S ribosomal RNA". It matches the Rfam family "Bacterial small subunit ribosomal RNA", at positions 524 to 776 of the family's 1533-position model. The record is from RNAcentral.
UACAGAGGGGGCAAGCGUUGUUCGGAAUUACUGGGCGUAAAGGGCGCGUAGGCGGCCUGUUAAGUCGAACGUGAAAUCCCCGGGCUCAACCCGGGAACUGCGUCCGAUACUGGCAGGCUUGAAUCCGGGAGAGGGAUGUGGAAUUCCAGGUGUAGCGGUGAAAUGCGUAGAUAUCCGGAGGAACACCAGUGGCGAAAGCGGCUCUCUGGGGGCAACCUGACGCUGAGGCGCGAAAGCGUGGGGAGCGAACCGG